Molecule: ribosomal RNA, 492 nt
Filed under: uncultured bacterium
Lineage: Bacteria
Description: partial 16S ribosomal RNA
Rfam family: Bacterial small subunit ribosomal RNA
Source: RNAcentral
AGUGAACGCUGGCGGUAGGCCUAACACAUGCAAGUCGAACGGCAGCACAGUAAGAGCUUGCUCUUACGGGUGGCGAGUGGCGGACGGGUGAGGAAUACAUCGGAAUCUACUUUUUCGUGGGGGAUAACGUAGGGAAACUUACGCUAAUACCGCAUACGACCUACGGGUGAAAGCAGGGGAUCUUCGGACCUUGCGCGAUUGAAUGAGCCGAUGUCGGAUUAGCUAGUUGGCGGGGUAAAGGCCCACCAAGGCGACGAUUCGUAGCUGGUCUGAGAGGAUGAUCAGCAACACUGGAACUGGGACACGGUCCAGACUCCUACGGGAGGCAGCAGUGGGGAAUAUUGGACAAUGGGCGCAAGCCUGAUCCAGCCAUACCGCGUGGGUGAAGAAGGCCUUCGGGUUGUAAAGCCCUUUUGUUGGGAAAGAAAAGCAGCAGGUUAAUACCCCGCUGUUCUGACGGUACCCAAAGAAUAAGCACCGGCUAACUUCGUG